AGUUUAUGAGCUUGAAUAAGCAUUUGUUUUGAAAACAUAUGAUAGAAAUUAAAAUUUCUAUAAACUU
This 67-nucleotide transfer RNA is filed under the name Manota sp. WQY001. RNAcentral's name for it is "tRNA-Ser". It matches the Rfam family "tRNA". Rfam says of the family: Transfer RNA (tRNA) molecules are approximately 80 nucleotides in length. Their secondary structure includes four short double-helical elements and three loops (D, anti-codon, and T loops). Further hydrogen bonds mediate the characteristic L-shaped molecular structure. tRNAs have two regions of fundamental functional importance: the anti-codon, which is responsible for specific mRNA codon recognition, and the 3' end, to which the tRNAs corresponding amino acid is attached (by aminoacyl-tRNA synthetases). tRNAs cope with the degeneracy of the genetic code in two manners: having more than one tRNA (with a specific anti-codon) for a particular amino acid; and 'wobble' base-pairing, i.e. permitting non-standard base-pairing at the 3rd anti-codon position. The record is from RNAcentral. Lineage: Eukaryota; Metazoa; Arthropoda; Insecta; Diptera; Mycetophilidae.